UCACCCGUUGCAGGAGCCACCCGCCCGGUGCGGCCCGCGGUCUCCAGCCGCUUUCCCUACCCAACCCACCACGGCCGUGGGCUCGCGGCGUCCGUGGGACCCGCUUCUGAAGGUCGGUCCCCAGGGGGGAAAAACCUGAAGGAAAGCCAAGAAGCUCCUGUUACAACCUGAGUCAGAUCAUGUCUCUCCUUGACUCAGAACAUUCCAGUGGAGCCCAGCUAUCACAGCCUGCAAUGCCCUACAGGAUCUGUACCCCAGCCCCCAUUAUAUCCCUGAUCAUACUGUCUCCUCCUUUCCCCUUGCUUACAUCACUCCAGCCACACUGGCCUCCUUGCAGUUUCUCAAACAUACUAGGCACAGUCCUACUUCAGGGCCCUUGAAUGUGUUGUUCUCAUUGCCUAUACAAAUUAUUUCCCCACAAAUUGCAUUGUUCACUCACCUCCUUCGGGGAUUUGUUCAGAUAUUAUCUUCUCAGGGAACCCUGCCUUAACCAUUCAAUCUAACACACUCCUUAAUAUUUCCUAUUCCCAUAUCUUGUUUAACUUUUUUAUUGGCAUCUAUUCCCUGCUAAUGUAUUAUACAUUUUACAUUUUAUUUUGUUUUUGUUCUUUUCCAAUAGAAUGCAAGUCCCACCAAAGCAGUGAUUUCUGUCCAUUUGUUCCCUUCAUAGCUCUAGCACCAAGCACACAGUUAAGUGCUCAAUCGCUGAAUUAAUGGUUGUCUGAAAGACUUAAAGCAAACAGGGUCAGCCUGAGGAGACUUACACAGGGCUAAGGAACCUACCCCAAAUGAGUUAAGAAGUUGGUUCCUGGAGAAAUUAGAAGACCAGUUUUCUCCCCAAAGAGACCCAGGACAGCCCCAAGCUAGUUUCCAAGGACUGCCUUUGCACAGAGUCCCUCCCCUCUGAUUCAUUCUCCUCCUCCCUCCAGCACCUGGUUAACUCCAUUCAUCCUGGGGAUAUCAGCUCAGAUUUAACUUUGUAGGGCACAAAAACCCUAUUUCCCAUAAAACCAUAAAAAUCUUAUUUCCCACCUUCAGGCUACACAGGUCUCACACGUCUUCAUGGCACAGUGUUCAAAAUGUAGCAGGGGCUCAGUAAAUUUGUGUUGGGUAAAUAAACAAAUGAAUGAGUGGAUGGGGACACUGGCAACCUACGUAACUGAAUGUCCACCUGAGCAGCUAGCUACAGCAUCUAUCCCAGGCCAUACUGAGGGAGAGAAAUGCUUCCAAUGCAGCGGGGGGUAGUCUUCCCUGCCAGGAAGAAAAGGAAGCAAGGUAGUGCCCUUCCAAACAGAGAUGACAAAGAAAAAGAAACAUUUCUAUUCACCAAAAACCUCUAAUAUACUUGCCCUAUGAAUUAAUCCUACCCUAUUUCUACAUCAUUUCCUAUAGAAAAGGACCUGAGUCCCCAAAGCCUAUUCAGCUUUGACUAGUCACAAAGGCCCCAGCAACAGAAGUGGGGCUUACCUCUAGGGCAAACUUUGGGCAAGUUCGUUUGCCUGUCCGAACCUCAGUUUGCUCAUCUACAAAAUGGGUGGCAAGACCCCUGUCCUAAUUGCCUCACAGGGUUGUUGGAGGAGUAAAUACAGUACUAGAUGGGAAAAGGUGUUAGGGAAAUUGAGAGACUGGGAAGAGACAGUUCUCAGCACUGGGCAAUGCUGGGAAAUGGGAAGCCUGGCACACAGUCCCCCAGGCAGCAGGAAGAUGGCAGUGCAGAAGGUCAGUAAGCUCAGGCACCUGGGUGGUUCUGUUGGUUAAGCCUUUGGCUCUGGUCAUGAUCCCAGAGUCCUGGGAUCGAGUCCCGCAUCAGGCUUCUGCUCUGCAGGGAGCCUGCUUCUCCCUCUCCUUCUUCUUGCUACUCUCCCUGCUUGUGCUCACUUUGUGUGCUCACUCUCUCUCUCUGUGUCAAAUAAAUAAAACCUUUUAAAAAAAAGAGAGAGAGAGAGAGAGAGAGAAGAAGAAGAAGAAGAAGAAGAAGAAGAAGAUCAAUAAGCUCUAUCAGGGCAGCAAGGAGCUCCACCUGGGGAAGAGGGAGCGGCGUUACUGAGAAGCAUGUGUCCAGGCCCCUUGGAGAGGAGGAUUCCAGGGCCUGCUCAGCCAGAAAAUGCAAGAAAGCAAGUGGCCACAUUGUUGAUGGGACCAAGGAUAUGGAUUCCCGGUUGUCUUAGAGAUUUAAGCCCAAGCCUCUUGGACUGACAUCCAGGCCAUUCAUUUCAGUAAUUCUUUAAAAAGAUAAUACCUGCUAACAAGACAGUAAACAAUGUGUGUUGGAGAGGAUGUGGAGAAAUGGGAGCCCUCUUACACUGUUGGUGGAAAAGCAAAUUGGUGCAGCCACUUUGGAAAACAGUCUGGAGAUUCCUUAAGAAAUUAAAAAUAGAGCUUCCCUAUGACCCUGCAAUUGUACCACUGGAUAUUUACCCCAAAGAUACAGAUGUUGUGAAAAGAAGGGCCAUCUCUACCCCAAUGUUCAUAGCAGAAAUGGCCACGGUCGCCAAACUGUGGAAAGAAGCAAGAUGCCCUUCAACGGACGAAUGGAUCAGGAAGAUGUGGUCCAUAUACACUAUGGAGUAUUAUGCCUCCAUCAGAAAGGACGAAUCCCCAACUUUUGUAUCAACGUGGACAGGACUAGAAGAGAUUAUGCUGAGUGAAACAAGUCAAGCAGAGAGAGUCAAUUAUCAUAUGUUCUCACUUAUUUGUGGAGCAUAACAAAUAACAUGGAGGACACAGGGAGAUGGUGAGGAGAAGGGAGUUGGGGGAAAUUGGAAGGGGAGGUGAACCAUGAGAGACUAUGGACUCUGAAAAACAAUCUGAGGGUUUUAAAGGGGCAGGAGGUGGGAGGUUGGGUGAGCCCAGUGGUGGGUAUUAUGGAGGACAUGUAUUGCAUGGAGCACUGGGUAUGGUGCAUAAACAAUGAAUUCUGGUACACUGAAAAGAAAUUCAAAAAAUAAAAAAUUAAAUAAUAAUAAUAAUGAUAAUACCUGCAAGGGCACCUGAGUGACUCAGUGGGUUAAGUGUCUGCCUUUGUCUCAAGUCAUGAUCUCAGGGUCCUGGGAUUGAGCCCUGCAUCACAUCGGGCUCUCUGCUUGGCGGGGAACCUGCUUCCUCCUCUCUCUCUCUCUCUGCCCGCCUCUCUGCCUACUUGUGAUCUCUCUCUGUCAAAUAAAUAAAUAAAAACUCUUAAAAAAAAAAA
Long non-coding RNA from Mustela lutreola (European mink), 3190 nucleotides. RefSeq lists it as uncharacterized. The record is from RefSeq and is a predicted model, not a curated record. The transcript has 2 exons. Lineage: Eukaryota; Metazoa; Chordata; Mammalia; Carnivora; Mustelidae.